AUUGAACGCUGGCGGCAUGCCUUACACAUGCAAGUCGAACGGCAGCAUGGAGAGCUUGCUCUCUGAUGGCGAGUGGCGAACGGGUGAGUAAUGCAUCGGAACGUACCGUGUAAUGGGGGAUAACGUAGCGAAAGUUACGCUAAUACCGCAUACGACCUGAGGGUGAAAGCAGGGGAUCGCAAGACCUUGCGUUAUACGAGCGGCCGAUGUCAGAUUAGCUAGUUGGUGAGGUAAAGGCUCACCAAGGCGACGAUCUGUAGCGGGUCUGAGAGGAGGAUCCGCCACACUGGGACUGAGACACGGCCCAGACUCCUACGGGAGGCAGCAGUGGGGAAUUUUGGACAAUGGGGGCAACCCUGAUCCAGCCAUGCCGCGUGAGUGAAGAAGGCCCUCGGGUUGUAAAGCUCUUUCGGCCGGGAAGAAAUCGCACAGGCUAAUACUCUGUGUGGAUGACGGUACCGGCAUAAGAAGCACCGGCUAACUACGUGCCAGCCGCCGCCGUAA
RNAcentral lists this ribosomal RNA (504 nucleotides) under uncultured bacterium. Its description in RNAcentral is "partial 16S ribosomal RNA". It matches the Rfam family "Bacterial small subunit ribosomal RNA", at positions 30 to 523 of the family's 1533-position model. The record is from RNAcentral.